This 853-nucleotide ribosomal RNA is filed under the name uncultured bacterium. Its description in RNAcentral is "SSU rRNA". It matches the Rfam family "Bacterial small subunit ribosomal RNA", at positions 524 to 1381 of the family's 1533-position model. The record is from RNAcentral.
UACGGAGGGUGCAAGCGUUAUCCGGAUUUAUUGGGUUUAAAGGGUGCGUAGGCGGGAUAUUAAGUCAGUGGUGAAAUCUCUCUGCUCAACAGAGAAACUGCCAUUGAUACUGAUGUUCUUGAAUUUAGUUGAAGUAGGCGGAAUGAGACAUGUAGCGGUGAAAUGCAUAGAUAUGUCUCAGAACACCGAUUGCGAAGGCAGCUUACUAAGCUAAUAUUGACGCUGAGGCACGAAAGCGUGGGUAGCGAACAGGAUUAGAUACCCUGGUAGUCCACGCUGUAAACGAUGAUUACUAGCUGUUGGCGAUACAAUGUCAGUGGCCAAGCGAAAGUGAUAAGUAAUCCACCUGGGGAGUACGUUCGCAAGAAUGAAACUCAAAGGAAUUGACGGGGGCCCGCACAAGCGGUGGAGCAUGUGGUUUAAUUCGAUGAUACGCGAGGAACCUUACCAGGGCUUAAAUGUAGUUUGACCGAUUUGGAAACAGAUCUUCUUUUUAAGCAGACUACAAGGUGCUGCAUGGUUGUCGUCAGCUCGUGCCGUGAGGUGUCGGGUUAAGUCCCUUAACGAGCGCAACCCCUAUCUCUAGUUGCCAGCGAGUAAUGUCGGGGACUCUAGAGAAACUGCCCGCGCAAGCGGAGAGGAAGGCGGGGAUGACGUCAAAUCAUCACGGCCCUUACGUCCUGGGCCACACACGUGCUACAAUGGUCGGUACAGAGGGCAGCUACCAGGUGACUGGAUGCAAAUCUCUAAAGCCGAUCUCAGUUCGGAUCGAAGUCUGCAACUCGACUUCGUGAAGCUGAAAUCGCUAGUAAUCGCGCAUCAGCCAUGGCGCGGUGAAUACGUUCCCGGGCCU